CGCUGGCGGAGGCCUAACACAUGCAAGUCGAGCGCGCCCUUCGGGGUGAGCGGCGGACGGGUUAGUAACGCGUGGGAAUAUGCCCAAAGGUACGGAAUAGCCUCUGGAAACGGAGAGUAAUACCGUAUGUGCCCUUCGGGGGAAAGAUUUAUCGCCUUUGGAUUAGCCCGCGUUAGAUUAGGUAGUUGGUGGGGUAAUGGCCUACCAAGCCUACGAUCUAAAGCUGGUUUUAGAGGAUGAUCAGCAACACUGGGACUGAGACACGGCCCAGACUCCUACGGGAGGCAGCAGUGGGGAAUCUUGGACAAUGGGCGCAAGCCUGAUCCAGCCAUGCCGCGUGAGUGAUGAAGGCCUUAGGGUCGUAAAGCUCUUUCGCCAGGGAUGAUAAUGACAGUACCUGGUAAAGAAACCCCGGCUAACUCCGUGCCGGCAGCCGCGGUAAUACGGAGGGGGUUAGCGUUGUUCGGAAUUACUGGGCGUAAAGCGCGCGCAGGCGGAUCGGAAAGUUGGGGGUGAAAUCCCGGGGCUCAACCCCGGAACUGCCUCCAAAACUAUCGGUCUA
Molecule: ribosomal RNA, 562 nt
Filed under: uncultured bacterium
Lineage: Bacteria
Description: bacterial SSU rRNA
Rfam family: Bacterial small subunit ribosomal RNA
Source: RNAcentral